This 217-nucleotide ribosomal RNA is filed under the name uncultured bacterium. RNAcentral describes it as "partial 16S ribosomal RNA". It matches the Rfam family "Bacterial small subunit ribosomal RNA", at positions 1285 to 1500 of the family's 1533-position model. The record is from RNAcentral.
UACUCAGUUCGGAUUGUAGUCUGCAACUCGACUACAUGAAGCUGGAAUCGCUAGUAAUCGCGAAUCAGAAUGUCGCGGCGAAUACGUUCCCGGGUCUUGUACACACCGCCCGUCACACCAUGGGAGUCGGGAAUGCCCGAAGUCAGUGACCCAACCGGAAGGAGGGAGCUGCCGAAGGCAAGGCUCGAUAACUGGGGUGAAGUCGUAACAAGGUACC